This 85-nucleotide microRNA precursor is filed under the name Pelobates cultripes (western spadefoot toad). The record is from RNAcentral. Lineage: Eukaryota; Metazoa; Chordata; Amphibia; Anura; Pelobatidae.
CGGCACCCCAGAUGUUUUGGACUACACCGCCAAUGAUGCUUUGUCAGCAUUAUGGGGGAUGUAAUCCAAAACAUCUGGAGUGCCG